Long non-coding RNA from Octopus sinensis (East Asian common octopus), 110 nucleotides. RefSeq lists it as uncharacterized. The record is from RefSeq and is a predicted model, not a curated record. Lineage: Eukaryota; Metazoa; Mollusca; Cephalopoda; Octopoda; Octopodidae. The transcript has 3 exons.
AUAUAUAUAUACAGGUAUAUCCAAAUAUACAUGAGUGAAUAUUUAUAUAGAUAUUAAUAUUGCUAUUAUUAUCGAAGGCAAUAUAAAUAGUUGAUAAUAACUGCAACAUU